GGCUCGAUAGCGGAUGGACCGCGCUUGCUUUACGUACGUAGCCAUUCAUCGGGUUUAUGCAGGACUCCCGUUCGACUCGGGGUCGGGCCA
This is a non-coding RNA of Mycena olivaceomarginata, 90 nucleotides long. The record is from the annotation of a GenBank genome assembly. NCBI's taxonomy places the organism in Eukaryota, Fungi, Basidiomycota, Agaricomycetes, Agaricales, Mycenaceae.